Molecule: transfer RNA, 65 nt
Filed under: Alpheus randalli
Lineage: Eukaryota; Metazoa; Arthropoda; Malacostraca; Decapoda; Alpheidae
Description: tRNA-Gly
Source: RNAcentral
AUCUUACUAGUAUAUAAGUAUAGUUGACUUCCAAUCAGCAGGUCUGAGUAAACUCAGGUAAGAUA